AGUUUUAUAUUUUAUUCUAGAAAAUUUUGAAUUGCAAAUUUAAAGAUGGUUAAUUUAACCUAAAACUU
This 68-nucleotide transfer RNA is filed under the name Japanagallia turriformis. Its description in RNAcentral is "tRNA-Cys". Lineage: Eukaryota; Metazoa; Arthropoda; Insecta; Hemiptera; Cicadellidae. The record is from RNAcentral.